Molecule: long non-coding RNA, 3539 nt
Organism: Myotis lucifugus (little brown bat)
Lineage: Eukaryota; Metazoa; Chordata; Mammalia; Chiroptera; Vespertilionidae
Exons: 2
Source: RefSeq, a predicted model, not a curated record
UGAAUAUUGUGACCAAGUUUGCAGCGCUGAUGUGACUGCCACCUCCCAGUGUAGCAGUGAUUGUUAGAUGCCUUUAAUUUUAAGAUUUAACUGGAUUUUAGAGAUGUUAAAAAUGUGGGGAAAAUAUAUAUUUGAUAAUUGAUGACUUAUAUGUGUGUUUAUUCCAAAUUUUUUGUUUUAAAGACUUUCUUUAUAGUCUGUGUAUGGUUUUAAUUAUCUGGGAAUUGAUUAAUCAUUUUCUUGGCAUUGCUAAAAUCUCAGUUCUCUUCUCCACUGUUGUGCCUUCUGAUUAUUUCAUUGCUUGUCAGUCCUUUCACCAAAAAGCAGUAGUACUGGUGAAACAAUUAGUAGAUGAUGGAGACUAAAGACUAAAAUGAAGCCAUGGUCCACUAGGCUUUUAGUUUUUUAUGAUCACAUUUUGUUACCUUCUAGUUGAGAGUUGAAUAUGUUUUUCAACUUAAAAGAAAUGUAAAAGUUAAAUAAAUUCUUAACUUUUUUUGAGUAAGAAAAUGUUCUAUACAACUGUAUUGUUUUAUGAAUAACACCUAAAUACUAAACCAUACCUCCCCCUUUUUUAUACAGAUCUCGAUUGGGCUGCCAAAUCUGUUUGACAAAGUCUAUGGACAAUAUGACUGUUCAAGUACCGGAUGCCAUGUCUGAUGCCAGACAAUCCAUCGAUAUGGGCAAGAACUCCUAAGAUAGAAUAAAUGGGAAUAUUUUCACAAAAUGUUACCUAUUUUUAUAAUUAUUAUUUCUUAAUUAAAUGAGAGCAUGGAUGAAUGAGUUUACUGUGAUGACCUGCUUUACUACUUUAAUUCACCUUGUAUAAUUACUGAAUUUUGUAGUCCGAACGUAUGCAAUCUUUGUUUUGUUUAAAUUAUAAAAAGCAAAUCAAAUAUUAGAAAACAUAUGAUAAAAUGGCACAUAUUUUACCUUAUGUUUGUUUAGCAACUUUAGCAAAAUGUUUCCAUAUAAAUUCUUUGCCUAUUUGCCUGUAAAGUAGGUUUAAAAAGGCACUAUCCCUGUGAGAUGCGGGUGAAGGCAGAGAUCCAAGAGUGAAUUAGAAAAUCUGUACCAGAACCCACAUCCUGUUACUACAAAUUUUACAAAUUUAAUGUUUAGAUUGAAACUGGAGAAAUUAUGAAUAUCUUAUUUAUAGUGGUAAUUAAUGUGAAUGUGAAUGGAAAAAAACUGUUGCUUCAUUCACUGAUUAAUUUCAAAGACAGUUGUAACCUUAUAAAUAAAUAUUUCAAAAUUUUAUUCAGUGAAAAGUGUAAGUCUGAGCAUAGGCAAUGUAACCCUGUCAAAUAAGUCUGGUCUCAACCUUUUAAGAAGGGCUAGUUUACUGUUGUUUUGUUUUUUGAAAGAAGUUUGGACUAAACUGGAGGAAUGAACAAAAAAUUAGGUGUCUUUAUUCUUUUCUGUCCUAAGCAGAAUGGUGUGUCUUUGUAAUAUUUAAAAAAUAAUGCUGAUCUAUAAAUCUCUGCCUGUAACAAAAUAGAGGUCUUCUGGGUUAGGUUUUCUCUGUCCUGAGCCGCAGAAGGAAAUGAGCAGACUCACACACUGCACAGCUGGGCAGGGGCGAGCCCCUUCCACCAGGACAGAGCUGCGCGGUGUGCAGUGAGCUCGUCAGCGUGCAUCGUCCCGGAGAUGCGGGGAUGGCUCGAUCACCACAGAUGACCAGUUACGCAUAGCAAGCAUUUAUAUCUUUGUCUUUACUCCGAGUACCCUGGUAAAUGAUAUAAAAGGGUUUGCAGUGUCUCUUGUAAAUAUAAUAAAACAUCAACUAGCUUGGACUAAUCACGGGGAAGGGCAGAACAAAUAAAAGGAAAAAAUGAACUAUAAGGCCCUUGAGUUAGCUUCAGGCACAUCUGUGCAGUUUGAUCAUUUGCACAAAUAUUGGUUAAGUGCAGUAAUUGACCUACAACAUUUUGUUGUGCCCAUUGGGGAAUACAGAGGUGAAAAAGAUAAGGAUGCCCUCCGGGAGCUCACCUUUUAUUAGGAAAAGAUAAAAUAUAUGUAUACACGAAUAAUUUGCUUGAACUUAGCCGACCAAUUUGCCAAAUAGAAUACUUAAAGCUAACACGUAAAAAAUGAUUCAGAAGAAUUUAGGGGAAUGUUCAUUUGACAUUUUAUAACUAUCGAGUGCCUUCUAUGUGGAGAGCUUUAAAAUGAAGUACUUUAAAAUAAUUUGUUCUCUUAAUUAGCUUCAGUAUUCCCCUUUCAUUCUUUCGUGGAUUACCUAAACUUUCCUUCCCAGAACUCUUAAUGAUGACAUUCAGCCUAAACACUAAAAUUUAGAUUCUAAUUUUCUCAGAUUUCAAAAUACAAAAAUUUAUACUAAUGAAGUUUAAUUGUAUCACUUAAAUAAAACCUACCAAACUUAUUAAAUGGAGGAUAUAUCCUAAAUUGGUUGGUAUAAAGAUUAUUGUUUUCAGUUUGAAAAACAAUUCUUUCAUGUUUAAUAGUGUGUGCAUUCAGGUAACUGUUAGUUGUCUAUUACUGCAAAACAAAUUGCCCCAAAACUUAGUGGCUUACGACAACAAUGAUCUCCAUUUGUAUGGGCAGGAAUUCACAGUGCAGAGCAGGAUGGCUCAUCACUGCUUCACAACGUCCGUCUGUAGCCUAAGCUGGAAGACAGAAAGGCCCGGUGCUGCAGCCAUCUGCAGACUGAUGAUCCCCUCACGUGACUGCACGUGGAUGCUGGUGUCAGCUAGGGAUCUAGUAGAGGCUCUUGACUGGAACACCCACACGUGGCCUCUCUGUGUGGCCUGGGUGUCCUCACAACGAUGGCUGGGUUCUAAGAGCCAGCACCAUGAGAAAGCUUGCAUUCCAGGCAGAAGCGUAUUGUGGUUAACCACAUUUUGUAAAAGGUGGAAGAUUUCUACAUUCUGAAGAAUAAGGUAAACUGCAUUUUAGAUCAGAAUUUGUUAGAUGGCUUUCUUAUUUAUAGGGUAACUUAUAAUUCAAUGAAAUAAAAAAAUAGUAAUGUGUUUUAUGGACAUUUAAAAUAAUAUAUGAAACCUAUUCUAAGUAUAAGCCAUUCAAAGACAUUCAAACAUUACAUAUCAACUUUGUUUCCUAUUACAGACAUAUUUAAGAAUAGAAAUAAUGUCCUGGUUAAGCAACCAAAGGAUUCCUUUAAUGUGUCAACACUUCGCAUGAUAUCAAGUUAUUUUUAUCAGAUUUUUUUCUGUUUAUAAGUUUUUAGAAACUGAAAAAUUAGGAAAGCAGCUGGAGGUGGAAGGCGUGGUCACUUGCAGACAAGUAAAUGUGGGCUGUACCAGAACAGAAACAGGGAGCUAAAAGGUAAUCUAAACCUCCCAGAAGCACCUUAGGAGGCAAGUGGACAGGAAAGAUCUUCAGAGUGAGUGGCGUAACUUCUGCAAAAACUGUUAGCAGUAAAUCAUCUGAUCAGUGUCUUCUCUCUCUUUUUGACUCCCAUUUGUUCAUCUUAUUAUCUGGAUGUAUUCUUUGUCAUUUUAUUUUUAGACUUGAGUAUUGUAAAAUGAAGUGGGGCCAUUGUGCCUUCGUGGCUC